GACGAACGCUGGCGGCGUGCUUAACACAUGCAAGUCGAACGGAAAGGCCCUGCUUUUGUGGGGUGCUCGAGUGGCGAACGGGUGAGUAACACGUGAGUAACCUGCCCUUGACUUUGGGAUAACUUCAGGAAACUGGGGCUAAUACCGGAUAGGAGCUCCUGCUGCAUGGUGGGGGUUGGAAAGUUUCGGCGGUUGGGGAUGGACUCGCGGCUUAUCAGCUUGUUGGUGGGGUAGUGGCUUACCAAGGCUUUGACGGGUAGCCGGCCUGAGAGGGUGACCGGCAACAUUGGGACUCAGAUAGGGACCAGAAUACUAAGGGAGGCAGCAGUGGGGAACAUUGCACAAUGGGCGGACGCCUGAUGCAGCAACGCUGCGUGCGGGAUGACGGCCUUCGGGUUGUAAACCGUUUUCGCCUGUGACGAAGCGUGCGUGACGGUACUGGGUAAAGAAGCACCGGCUAACUACGUG
Molecule: ribosomal RNA, 468 nt
Filed under: uncultured bacterium
Lineage: Bacteria
Description: partial 16S ribosomal RNA
Rfam family: Bacterial small subunit ribosomal RNA
Source: RNAcentral